CAAAAACAAAGCGUGGGUCAGCAGUAAUUGUGCCCAGUGCCCAGCAGCCCUCCCGCCCAGGGAGCUCUGAUUGUGUUUAUACUCCUACAGUCACAGCGAGGGAUUUUCUCCAUCUGGGGUUUGAUUUGAAGGAGUUUCAGAGUUUUUUUUGUUUUCAACCAAAGCAAGGAUUUUCUAAAUUUUGGAAUAUCAGUCUGUCAGUAAAGAUUUCUUCUGAGAACAACUCUUAAGACUGAAGAUGUCUUUAAAGAGGCGCCUGCUGUCCAUGUUGUUGUGCUGUGUUUACUGCGUGGCCUCGCUCUUCUGCCUCCAUCCAAACCGCAACAACUGCUUCUCUGCCGGAGCUCGGAAUCUGGUGUCAGUUGUCCAACAGCUUUACCAGCGAGCCAUUCGGCUGCUGCGCACCACUCUGUGAUUCCACACCACUUCCUGUGCCUGAACAAGUAAGGCUGGAUUUCAUCAAGAAUGCCCUCUAGAAGAAGAAACAGAGGAAAUGCAUCCCUAAACUUUCGGACUGCAGAGUUUCCAUUCACUCAGUUUCCCUUGAAUUUGGCUCCAACUGCCCGUUUUUGUUUAUUAUUGAUAUUUUCCAACUAUAUUUUAAAUGUAGAGGAGAAGAAUACCUAGCCAAUGUAUAUUUUUCUACUGAUGAAGUUUAGCAUUGUGGAUAUUUGCUGUUUGACAUGUGAGUGAUGUGGAAAGGACAUCAGCAGUCCUCUUUUAAAAGCAUUUAAGGGGUUUACUGCAGUUUUUUUAAUUUACAUAAAAGAAUCUGGGUAGCCGAAAAUUUGCUGAUUUAAAUUCCGGGAGGCUCUGUGAGUUGUAAUGUUUGAAAUGCAAGCGCAAACUUUCUUCCCUCUGCUAAUAACUACCAAAGAGCUGUUUUUGUGUUCUGUUUCUACUGUAUCCUGUGAUGUAAGUGCUGUCUUCACAGGUUCAAAAUGCAGGAAAAUCCACAAGAAACAGAGGAGCAUGAUGCUCCUGAAAAGGAAAGAGAAUGAUAAAAACAAGACAGUAGAUCAUAAUCAAAACCCAGUGAAUGCAACCUGGACUAACUACUAAAGCUUAAACACUGCAGUAACACUUGGCUCAUUCAUUGCAAAUAUGUGCCACGGUUGUACAAGAAACAUAAGCCUUAGACAUGUUAGCUGAACCAUGUUGCCCUUAUGCCCUUUACUCCUAUUACGUAAGUGAAACUGUAGAUCAACAUUUCAUCAUAUGAAAAAUUUCAGGUGUCAUAUUUUGAAAGGUAAUGUCAUUUGUGCACAGCAUUUUUAUUUGUGUCCCUAAUGGAAGUAUGUUUUCAUGCUGUGCAGCUACCUGAUGAGCAACUCUCAGGUGCUUAAAGCACCAAACAGAUGCAGUUUGAGGGGGGUGGGUACUUUUUUUUAAUGCUAAAGUAAUGGGAGUGAAUUUAUUUUGUAACACUUGCAGGUAGUGAAGGUAGUUAGGUUGCAUGGGUAAGUUUAAAUACAACGGGUCAACCAUGCAAACCAACAGCCAUUAGACAAUGCACAAGAGAGGUGAGGAAGAGAGCACAGGCAGAGUCGAGGAGGUGGGCGUAGAUGACUGUCAGGGGUGAUUUUUGGCUAAAGGAUAGCAAAAAGAGUGAAAGGGAAGGUUUACAAGAUGGUAGUGAGGCCUACUCUGAUGUACAGUUUUGAAAUGGUAGCACUGCCGGGAGGCAGAGCUGAAGAUUUACAUCAGGAAUGAAAGGAUUAGAAAUGAGUAAAUCAGAGUGACAGCUCAGACAAAGUUACAAAGAGAAGGCUGAGAUGGUUUGGACAUGUACAGAGGAGGGAUAGUGCAAGUACUGGACAAAGGAUGUUGAAUAUGGAGCUGCCAGGCAGGAGGGAAAUAAGACUGCAGAGGAGGUAGUGAAGGCGGACGUGUAGAGGGUUGGCGUCAAAGACGAGGAUAUGGAUUAGGUGAGAUGGGGGCAGAUGAUCUGAUAUGUCAACCUCAAGCUGCUUCUUCUGGAGCAGCCAGAAGAAGAAGAAAACAAACACUUUAGCAUUAGAGCAGUUAGGUGUGAAAGAAUCCAACAGGAAAUCAUAAUAAAAUAAGAAAGAAAACUUUGCAUCGUAUGUAAAAUCAAUUUCAUUAAGAAAUCGGAAAAAAAUAAAAACUUGGGUUGUUUCAAGUUGCCGAUUUUAUGUUUUAUUGAGAAUGGAGUCUCUCAUCUGUUGCAAACACGCAAGAAAAAAAAAAAUGCCGAAUAUGUGUUGCCAUACAACUGAGAGCACAAAGAUAAAGGAGUAAGGGUUCAUUAAAGAAAUAUGAUGAUGAAAACGCUAGGGUGUGAUUAAAUAUAUCACAGUUUGAAUGCUGUGGAUGGAUUUUAAUUUAAUGUGCUACCUGAAAAGAUAUUAGAAAACUAUGUACUUUUCUUACUUUUGUAUGACUGCGUGUUUCACACUGUUCAGGGGAAGACCUGUUCCACAGUACAACUCCAAUAAAACAAAUUCAGCUUUCCUGAAGAUCUAUCAGCUGUGGUGGUUAAUUAUAUAUUUGUAUAGAUGAACACCCAAUAAACAUUUAGAAAUAAGUGCAACAACAGUAAACCAUCAGUAGCCUAGCUAAAUCACUAG
This is a long non-coding RNA of Astatotilapia calliptera (eastern happy), 2591 nucleotides long. Lineage: Eukaryota; Metazoa; Chordata; Actinopteri; Cichliformes; Cichlidae. The record is from Ensembl.